Molecule: ribosomal RNA, 492 nt
Filed under: uncultured bacterium
Lineage: Bacteria
Description: partial 16S ribosomal RNA
Rfam family: Bacterial small subunit ribosomal RNA
Source: RNAcentral
AGUGAACGCUGGCGGUAGGCCUAACACAUGCAAGUCGAACGGCAGCACAGUAAGAGCUUGCUCUUACGGGUGGCGAGUGGCGGACGGGUGAGGAAUACAUCGGAAUCUACUUUUUCGUGGGGGAUAACGUAGGGAAACUUACGCUAAUACCGCAUACGACCUACGGGUGAAAGCAGGGGAUCUUCGGACCUUGCGCGAUUGACUGAGCCGAUGUCGGAUUAGCUAGUUGGCGGGGUAAAGGCCCACCAAGGCGACGAUCCGUAGCUGGUCUGAGAGGAUGAUCAGCCACACUGGAACUGAGACACGGCCCAGACUCCUACGGGAGGCGGCAGUGGGGAAUAUUGGACAAUGGGCGCAAGCCUGAUCCAGCCAUACCGCGUGGGUGAAGAAGGCCUUCGGGUUGUAAAGCCCUUUUGUUGGGAAAGAAAAGCAGCAGGUUAAUACCCCGCUGUUCUGACGGUACCCAAAGAAUAAGCACCGGCUAACUUCGUG